AACUUUCAGCAACGGAUCUCUUGGCUCUCGCAUCGAUGAAGAACGCAGCGAAAUGCGAUAAGUAAUGUGAAUUGCAGAAUUCAGAGAAUCAUCGAAUCUUUGAACGCACCUUGCGCUCCUUGGUAUUCCGAGGAGCAUGCCUGUUUGAGUGACAUUAAAUUCUCAACCUUCCAACUUUUAUAAGCUUGGAUAGGCUUGGAUGUGGGGGUUGCAGGCUUCAUCAAUGAGGUCAGCUCUUCUUAAAUGCAUUAGCGGAACUUUUGUGGACCGUCUAUUGGUGUGAUAAUUAUCUACGCCGUGGAUGAGAAACAGCUUUAUCAAGUUCAGCUUCUAACCGUCCAUUGACUUGGACAAUUUUGACAAUUUGACCUCAAAUCAGGUAGGACUACCCGCUGAACUUAAGCAUAUCAAUAAGCGGAGGCU
This 423-nucleotide unclassified non-coding RNA is filed under the name uncultured Tricholomataceae. RNAcentral's name for it is "sequence contains ITS2". The stretch from base 1 to 154 matches the Rfam family "5.8S ribosomal RNA". Lineage: Eukaryota; Fungi; Basidiomycota; Agaricomycetes; Agaricales; Tricholomataceae. The record is from RNAcentral.